This is a regulatory RNA element of Halobacillus karajensis, 38 nucleotides long. It matches the Rfam family "Ribosomal protein L19 leader". Rfam says of the family: This family is a putative r-protein leader autoregulatory structure found in B. subtilis and other low-GC Gram-positive bacteria. The record is from Rfam. NCBI's taxonomy places the organism in Bacteria, Bacillati, Bacillota, Bacilli, Caryophanales, Bacillaceae.
ACGAUGUUCCGCUGCCUCUUAGAAGACAUGAGCAUUAG